This 228-nucleotide long non-coding RNA is filed under the name Salvia miltiorrhiza (redroot sage). Its description in RNAcentral is "long non-coding RNA (SMIL_LNC013379)". Lineage: Eukaryota; Viridiplantae; Streptophyta; Magnoliopsida; Lamiales; Lamiaceae. The record is from RNAcentral.
GGGGGUUUUCCACUAUAAUCGAGAGAGUAGUUUACAUUUUACAAGUUGUGAAUAAAUAAUGAGAUUAUCUCCUAAUCUAUGCAACAAGGCCCUAUUUAUAAGCAUGAACAUAAACUUAAGGCCCUUGGGCCCAUUAGACCCUUAAAGCCCAUUAGCCCCAUGAAUCAAGCCCAAGCCCCGUUAUUCUAAUCUACAUCUUGAAAUCGAGCCAUCAGAGCUGGAAAGCUG